CUCGGGGGAUGUUCUGUGACGCCAUGACUGGCCUCGGGGGAUGUGCUGUGACGCCAUGACUGGUCUCGGGGGAUGUGCUGUGACGCCAUGACUGGCUUAGCAGAACUUGGGGUCGGGAAGAGGUGGACAUUUGGGUCAUAUUAGGGAGUGUUUUGAGCCAUAUGGAGAUCACAUUGGUGUGGUCUAGACCAGGAAGGCCAGGAGCACUUUCUCAAGGAGUCGGGCAAAUGGGACCCCCAGCUAAACCCAGGAGCCAUGGACUGGACCCCAAGAUGAGCCGAGGCUGUAAUAUCAUCACCAAGGAAGAAACUCAUUGAACCUGCUGUUCUCUGCCCAACUCGUGGGGGGCUGGCCUGGUUGGGGGGAGCCUUUCUUUGUGGAGGUGCCUAAAGAGCACUGUGUUUAACUCUUCCGUCCUGUCUCAGAUGUCAGCUUGAUGGACACGCGUUCACAGCAGCGUUGGUCACUGUAGCCGAAAGGUGGAAGCGACCCAAGACGGACGAAUGGAUAGACAGGAUGCGGUAUCUCCGUGCAAUGGGAUACUAUCCACCCUUCCAAAGAAAGGAAAUUCUACAACAGGGUGAACCUUGAGGACAUUACACUAAGUGAUAUAAGCCACCUGCAAAAGGACGAACACUGUGUGCUUCCACUUAUAUGAGAAAUUUGCCCCAGAGAAGGGCUCGUGGAUGUUCAGAAAGAGCAAAAGUCUGAAACAUCAACACAAUGGAAAUAAGCUAGAAAUUUCCAUGAAGAGAAUAGAGCCGUCACUCAAGACGACAGGGAGAGCAGAGCCUGAGCUGAGUGGAGCCUCAACUUCCCCGGCUGCCCACACCCAGAGGCUGGAGCAGAUGCUGGCUGCUGGCCGGCUGUGUUCUGUUGGGUUUCCUGCGACUGAUGCAGCAUUUAGGAUUUCUGUCCUGGACUCUGAUUAACAGGAGAUUGGAGAGGAGAGAGAUCUCAAAGGUCAUUGGUUUCAUCUUCCUCACUUCAUGACAGAGGAAACAAUACUCAAAGAGGUG
Molecule: long non-coding RNA, 1019 nt
Organism: Galeopterus variegatus (Sunda flying lemur)
Lineage: Eukaryota; Metazoa; Chordata; Mammalia; Dermoptera; Cynocephalidae
Exons: 3
Source: RefSeq, a predicted model, not a curated record